Molecule: ribosomal RNA, 1006 nt
Filed under: Staphylococcus epidermidis
Lineage: Bacteria; Bacillati; Bacillota; Bacilli; Caryophanales; Staphylococcaceae
Description: bacterial LSU rRNA
Rfam family: Bacterial large subunit ribosomal RNA
Source: RNAcentral
CCAGUAAACGGCGGCCGUAACUAUAACGGUCCUAAGGUAGCGAAAUUCCUUGUCGGGUAAGUUCCGACCCGCACGAAAGGCGUAACGAUUUGGGCACUGUCUCAACGAGAGACUCGGUGAAAUCAUAGUACCUGUGAAGAUGCAGGUUACCCGCGACAGGACGGAAAGACCCCGUGGAGCUUUACUGUAGCCUGAUAUUGAAAUUCGGCACAGCUUGUACAGGAUAGGUAGGAGCCUUUGAAACGUGAGCGCUAGCUUACGUGGAGGCGUUGGUGGGAUACUACCCUAGCUGUGUUGGCUUUCUAACCCGCACCACUUAUCGUGGUGGGAGACAGUGUCAGGCGGGCAGUUUGACUGGGGCGGUCGCCUCCUAAAAGGUAACGGAGGCGCUCAAAGGUUCCCUCAGAAUGGUUGGAAAUCAUUCAUAGAGUGUAAAGGCAUAAGGGAGCUUGACUGCGAGACCUACAAGUCGAGCAGGGUCGAAAGACGGACUUAGUGAUCCGGUGGUUCCGCAUGGAAGGGCCAUCGCUCAACGGAUAAAAGCUACCCCGGGGAUAACAGGCUUAUCUCCCCCAAGAGUUCACAUCGACGGGGAGGUUUGGCACCUCGAUGUCGGCUCAUCGCAUCCUGGGGCUGUAGUCGGUCCCAAGGGUUGGGCUGUUCGCCCAUUAAAGCGGUACGCGAGCUGGGUUCAGAACGUCGUGAGACAGUUCGGUCCCUAUCCGUCGUGGGCGUAGGAAAUUUGAGAGGAGCUGUCCUUAGUACGAGAGGACCGGGAUGGACAUACCUCUGGUGUACCAGUUGUCGUGCCAACGGCAUAGCUGGGUAGCUAUGUAUGGACGGGAUAAGUGCUGAAAGCAUCUAAGCAUGAAGCCCCCCUCAAGAUGAGAUUUCCCAACUUCGGUUAUAAGAUCCCUCGAAGAUGACGAGGUUAAUAGGUUCGAGGUGGAAGCGUGGUGACACGUGGAGCUGACGAAUACUAAUCGAUCGAAGACUUAAUCAAUUU